This 508-nucleotide ribosomal RNA is filed under the name uncultured bacterium. RNAcentral's name for it is "partial 16S ribosomal RNA". It matches the Rfam family "Bacterial small subunit ribosomal RNA", at positions 28 to 523 of the family's 1533-position model. The record is from RNAcentral.
GAUGAACGCUAGCUACAGGCUUAACACAUGCAAGUCGAGGGGAAACGAUAGAGAAAGCUUGCUUUUUCUAGGCGUCGACCGGCGCACGGGUGAGUAACGCGUAUCCAACCUGCCCACCACUUGGGGAUAACCUUUCGAAAGUAAGACUAAUACCCAAUGAUAUCUCAAUAAGACAUCUGAAUGAGAUUAAAGAUUUAUCGGUGAUGGUUGGGGAUGGGUUUGAUUAGCUUGUUGGCGAGGUAACGGCCCACCAAGGCGACGACCAGUAGGGGUUCUGAGAGGAAGGUCACCCACAUUGGACAUGGGACUCGGUCCAAACUCCUACGGGAGGCAGCAGUUAGGAAUAUUGGUCAAUGGGCGAGAGCCUGAACCAGCCAAGUAUCGUGCAGGAGGACGGCCCUAUGGGUUGUAAACUGCUUUUAUAAGGGAAUAAAGUGAGCCUCGUGAGGCUUUUUGCAUGUACUUUAUGAAUAAGGACCGGCUAAUUCCGUGCCAGCAGCCGCCGUAA